GAGGGUAUAGCUCAGUGGUAGAGCGCAUGCCAAGCAUGCAUGAGGUCCUGGUUCAAUCCCCAGUAGCUCCA
This 71-nucleotide transfer RNA is filed under the name Camelus bactrianus (Bactrian camel). It matches the Rfam family "tRNA". Rfam says of the family: Transfer RNA (tRNA) molecules are approximately 80 nucleotides in length. Their secondary structure includes four short double-helical elements and three loops (D, anti-codon, and T loops). Further hydrogen bonds mediate the characteristic L-shaped molecular structure. tRNAs have two regions of fundamental functional importance: the anti-codon, which is responsible for specific mRNA codon recognition, and the 3' end, to which the tRNAs corresponding amino acid is attached (by aminoacyl-tRNA synthetases). tRNAs cope with the degeneracy of the genetic code in two manners: having more than one tRNA (with a specific anti-codon) for a particular amino acid; and 'wobble' base-pairing, i.e. permitting non-standard base-pairing at the 3rd anti-codon position. Lineage: Eukaryota; Metazoa; Chordata; Mammalia; Artiodactyla; Camelidae. RNAcentral also lists the same sequence under 1 other name. The record is from Rfam by way of RNAcentral.